Molecule: long non-coding RNA, 221 nt
Filed under: Lathyrus oleraceus (garden pea)
Lineage: Eukaryota; Viridiplantae; Streptophyta; Magnoliopsida; Fabales; Fabaceae
Description: Pisum sativum (pea) long non-coding RNA (PSAT_LNC032678)
Source: RNAcentral
AAUAUAUGUCAUUUUUGAAUCAAAAUAGGACUUAACCAAUUGUGAGGAAGCUUUACAUUGUACACUAAAAUGCGAGAAACGGAACAUUAUUUAACCUCAUUCUUAUCAUGCUAAAUCAUGCAUCAAUCUAUUUUUGUGUGAAAAUUUUGAAAAUGAUAGAGGCAUUGUUUGUUGAGAAAAACCACUUGACCAAAAAGUUUUGAAUCAACUAACCUUGUGAG